UACGUAGGGUGCAAGCGUUGUCCGGAAUUAUUGGGCGUACAGAGCUCGUAGGCGGUUUGUCGCGUCUGCUGUGAAAACUCGGGGCUUAACCCCGGGCCUGCAGUGGGUACGGGCAGACUAGAGUGCGGUAGGGGAGACUGGAAUUCCUGGUGUAGCGGUGAAAUGCGCAGAUAUCAGGAGGAACACCGAUGGCGAAGGCAGGUCUCUGGGCUGUAACUGACGCUGAGGAGCGAAAGCAUGGGGAGCGAACAGG
RNAcentral lists this ribosomal RNA (253 nucleotides) under uncultured bacterium. Its description in RNAcentral is "partial 16S ribosomal RNA". It matches the Rfam family "Bacterial small subunit ribosomal RNA", at positions 524 to 776 of the family's 1533-position model. The record is from RNAcentral.